UUGUCCGCUUCGAACAGGUUGCUUUGUCAUUGUCACCAAUUAGAUCACUUAUAGGUAUGAGGAUCUCCCCUGGGUUUGCUAUAUCUGUGGAAAAAUAGGACACCAAUUUCGCCACUGCUCUCAACCUUUGUUUGACCCUCAGGGUCGUUCGUUCGACCAAUUUUUUAGCCGGAGGGUUAUGAACCUCCCGGGACCUUGGCUGAGGGCUAAACUUACCUUACAACGGACUUGGCAGCGUCCUCGAUUCAUGGACUUCAUGGACAUCCCCCUGCCUGUCCCUCCAACCCCAGGAAAUCCUCCUGCUGAAGGAACCUCCUCACCUACUAACCAACCAUAGCCAGUUGUUUCUACUUCCUCCCCACAGACUCCUACCAACCGAUGGUUUCGGUAACCACAUCCCUACCAACUCUCCUAGUGUCUACAGCAACUUUUCACUUAGUAGAGACUACCCAAGACUUAGUGAUGAAUCGACUUUUCGAAGACACUCCUAGCCCUUCUUCCCGUGCUCGAGGUAAACGACCCAGACUAGAUCUAACCUCUCACCUGCUCUUGGAUCCUAAAUCCCUAGACUUGCCAACUUACGAUAGGCCAGAUCCUCCUUCUGAAGAGACCCAUAUUCUUAUGACCGUAUUCUUAUGAUCGAUCUGGUGGGACAUUCUAAGAACACUCAGCACUCAGAGGAUCAACGUUCGGAAGAGCAGGAGGAUUAGUAGUCCUCUGGAAAGCGGGGUUUCAAGUUUCUUUUUUGUCUUCUUUUGCCAGGUUCUAGAAUGCCUUUCGUAUUGGAGCUAUCAAAAGGUAUUUAUUGCAUCUGAUGCGAAACAAGUGGUGGAUGCUUUGCAACGACAAUCUGAAGUUCCUUAGACCUGCCUUUUGCUUUUGAAUAGGAUUAGGGAGCUUUUGAUUCAAAAGCCUUAUGUAAACUUUUGUUAUGUAUCUCGAACCUUUAAUGUGCCUGCCCAUAAAGUAUCCCAUCUAGCAAAACCUCAUGGUCUAGAACUUUUUGAUUUACCAUCUUACCCCAAUGGGAUACCUAGGGUAGACGACUUUGUAAAUAUUUCUC
Nelumbo nucifera (sacred lotus) is the source of this 1063-nucleotide long non-coding RNA. RefSeq lists it as uncharacterized. Lineage: Eukaryota; Viridiplantae; Streptophyta; Magnoliopsida; Proteales; Nelumbonaceae. The record is from RefSeq and is a predicted model, not a curated record.